Molecule: ribosomal RNA, 301 nt
Filed under: uncultured bacterium
Lineage: Bacteria
Description: partial 16S ribosomal RNA
Rfam family: Bacterial small subunit ribosomal RNA
Source: RNAcentral
CAGUCGCCACGGUAAUACGAAGGGGGCUAGCGUUGUUCGGAAUUACUGGGCGUAAAGGGCGCGUAGGCGGCCAUUCAAGUUAGAUGUGAAAGCCCUGGGCUCAACCUAGGAAUUGCAUUUGAUACUGUUUGGCUUGAGUUCGGGAGAGGUGAGUGGAAUUCCCAGUGUAGAGGUGAAAUUCGUAGAUAUUGGGAAGAACACCAGUGGCGAAGGCGGCUCACUGGACCGACACUGACGCUGAGGCGCGAAAGCGUGGGGAGCAAACAGGAUUAGAUACCCCCGUAGUCCCUGUCUCUUAUAU